UCCGGUGUAGCUCAGUUGGUUAGAGCGCUAGACUGUUAAUCUGGAUGUCGGAGGUUCGAGUCCUCUCACCGGAGCCA
This 77-nucleotide transfer RNA is filed under the name Acidobacteriota bacterium. RNAcentral's name for it is "tRNA-Asn". It matches the Rfam family "tRNA". Rfam says of the family: Transfer RNA (tRNA) molecules are approximately 80 nucleotides in length. The record is from RNAcentral. RNAcentral also lists the same sequence under 1 other name. Lineage: Bacteria; Pseudomonadati; Acidobacteriota.